UACGUAGGGGGCAAGCGUUGUCCGGAUUUAUUGGGCGUAAAGAGCGUGUAGGCGGCUUGGUAGGUCCGCUGUGAAAACUCGAGGCUCAACCUCGAGAUGUCGGCGGAAACCAUCUGGCUAGAGUCCGGAAGAGGAGAAUGGAAUUCCCGGUGUAGCGGUGAAAUGCGCAGAUAUCGGGAAGAACACCCGUGGCGAAGGCGGUUCUCUGGGACGGUACUGACGCUGAGACGCGAAAGCGUGGGGAGCGAACAGG
Molecule: ribosomal RNA, 253 nt
Filed under: uncultured bacterium
Lineage: Bacteria
Description: partial 16S ribosomal RNA
Rfam family: Bacterial small subunit ribosomal RNA
Source: RNAcentral